CUGAGACCUGAUGCCGAGCCGAUUGUGGUGAAGUGGAUGAUCCUAUGCUGUCGAGAAAAGCCUCUAGCGAGUUUCAUGGCGGCCCGUACCCCAAACCGACUCAGGUGGUCAGGUAGAGAAUACCGAGGCGUUCGGGUGAACUAUGGUUAAGGAACUCGGCAAAAUGCCCCCGUAACUUCGGGAGAAGGGGGGCCAUUCCUGGUGACGGCACUUGCUGCCAGAGCUGGGGGUGGCCGCAGAGACCAGCGAGAAGCGACUGUUUACUAAAAACACAGGUCCGUGCGAAGCCGUAAGGCGAUGUAUACGGACUGACGCCUGCCCGGUGCUGGAACGUUAAGGGGACCGGUUAGCUCUGAUUCGUCGGGGCGAAGCUGAGAACUUAAGCGCCAGUAAACGGCGGUGGUAACUAUAACCAUCCUAAGGUAGCGAAAUUCCUUGUCGGGUAAGUUCCGACCUGCACGAAUGGCGUAACGACUUCUCGACUGUCUCAACCAUAGGCCCGGUGAAAUUGCAUUACGAGUAAAGAUGCUCGUUUCGCGCAGCAGGACGGAAAGACCCCGGGACCUUUACUAUAGCUUGAUAUUGGUGUUCGGUUCGGCUUGUGUAGGAUAGGUGGGAGACUUUGAAGCCGUGACGCCAGUCAUGGUGGAGUCGUCGUUGAAAUACCACUCUGGUCGUGCUGGAUGUCUAACCUGGGUCCGUGAUCCGGAUCAGGGACAGUGUCUGGUGGGUAGUUUAACUGGGGCGGUUGCCUCCUAAAGAGUAACGGAGGCGCCCAAAGGUUCCCUCAGCCUGGUUGGCAAUCAGGUGUUGAGUGUAAGUGCACAAGGGAGCUUGACUGUGAGACUGACGGGUCGAGCAGGGACGAAAGUCGGGACUAGUGAUCCGGCGGUGGCUUGUGGAAGCGCCGUCGCUCAACGGAUAAAAGGUACCCCGGGGAUAACAGGCUGAUCUUCCCCAAGAGUCCAUAUCGACGGGAUGGUUUGGCACCUCGAUGUCGGCUCGUCGCAUCCUGGGGCUGGAGUAGGUCCCAAGGGUUGGGCUGUUCGCCCAUUAAAGCGGUACGCGAGCUGGGUUUAGAACGUCGUGAGACAGUUCGGUCCCUAUCCGCUGUGCGCGUAGGAGUGUUGAGAAGGGCUGUCCCUAGUACGAGAGGACCGGGACGGACGAACCUCUGGUGUGCCAGUUGUCCUGCCAAGGGCAUGGCUGGUUGGCUACGUUCGGGAGGGAUAACCGCUGAAAGCAUCUAAGCGGGAAGCCUGCUUCGAGAUGAGCACUCCCACCUCCUUGAGAGGGUAAGGCUCCCAGUAGACGACUGGGUUGAUAGGCCGGAUAUGGAAGCCCUGUGAGGGGUGGAGUUGACCGGUACUAAUAGGCCGAGGGCUUGUCCU
This 1391-nucleotide ribosomal RNA is filed under the name Streptomyces sp. NRRL S-426. Its description in RNAcentral is "bacterial LSU rRNA". It matches the Rfam family "Bacterial large subunit ribosomal RNA", at positions 1556 to 2925 of the family's 2925-position model. Lineage: Bacteria; Bacillati; Actinomycetota; Actinomycetes; Kitasatosporales; Streptomycetaceae. The record is from RNAcentral.